Molecule: non-coding RNA, 18 nt
Filed under: Mus musculus (house mouse)
Lineage: Eukaryota; Metazoa; Chordata; Mammalia; Rodentia; Muridae
Source: RNAcentral
UGCUAAGUUCCUGUCUGA